This 596-nucleotide ribosomal RNA is filed under the name Trichophyton benhamiae. RNAcentral describes it as "eukaryotic LSU rRNA". It matches the Rfam family "Eukaryotic large subunit ribosomal RNA", at positions 40 to 648 of the family's 3401-position model. The record is from RNAcentral. Lineage: Eukaryota; Fungi; Ascomycota; Eurotiomycetes; Onygenales; Arthrodermataceae.
AUAUCAAUAAGCGGAGGAAAAGAAACCAACAGGGAUUGCCCCAGUAACGGCGAGUGAAGCGGCAAGAGCUCAAAUUUGAAAUCUGGCCUCCUCCGGGGGUCCGAGUUGUAAUUUGCAGAGGAUGCUUCGGGUGCGGCCCCCGUCUAAGUUCCUUGGAACAGGACGUCAGAGAGGGUGAGAAUCCCGUCUUGGGCGGGCGGUCCGCGCCCGUGUGAAGCUCCUUCGACGAGUCGAGUUGUUUGGGAAUGCAGCUCUAAGCGGGUGGUAAAUUUCAUCUAAAGCUAAAUACUGGCCGGAGACCGAUAGCGCACAAGUAGAGUGAUCGAAAGGUUAAAAGCACCUUGAAAAGGGAGUUAAACAGCACGUGAAAUUGUUGAAAGGGAAGCGCUUGCGGCCAGACUCGGGGGCGGGGUUCAGCGGGCGCUCGUCGCCCGUGCACUCCCCGCGCCCCGGGCCAGCAUCAGUUUCGACGGUCGGUCAAAGGCCCCCGGAAUGUGUCGUCUCUAGGGACGUCUUAUAGCCGGGGGUGCAAUGCGGCCCGUCGGGACUGAGGAACGCGCUCCGGCUCGGAUGCUGGCGUAAUGGCCGUAAGCGGC